This 447-nucleotide long non-coding RNA is filed under the name Malus domestica (apple). RNAcentral describes it as "long non-coding RNA (MDOM_LNC002371)". Lineage: Eukaryota; Viridiplantae; Streptophyta; Magnoliopsida; Rosales; Rosaceae. The record is from RNAcentral.
UGAUGUAUGAUCAAAUUAAUGGGGAAAAAAAAUAGGAGUAAAAUUUGUCUCUUGUUUCUGCAGAAAUUUCUCUUGAAUUGAUUGGUUUUGUUCACCAUUUCGAUUCAACUGUGCUACUCUUCGACAUCACUUUCUUUGAAAAAAAUCUGGUUCUUGAGAUUACAGCACAAUGAGCUGGUAGUGACUUAUAAAGUGGUAUUUAUUUAAAGAAGUUGUGCUAGUUCGUUAGUUUCCAUUGUAGCUACAAGAUCAGUUUGCAUGUUUUCUGAUAUGUCGCUGUAUAAAUUCAUACAGCUUAAUGUUUGAAUUUAGGAGUGCGAUUUCGAGACGAGGUAUGAAAAAGGAAUUCGCUUGAGUUGACAAUGACAACGACAUAAAUAGCGAUGACAAGAAAUAGGCAUUUUGCCAAUUUGAUGUUGAACGGAAGCGGGAGAAAACACUUGAAGG